GAUGAACGCUGACCGAAUGCUUAACACAUGCAAGUCUUUGGCGAAGCUGUGCUCGCACAGCCUAGCCAAGGCGGACGGGUGAGUAACGCGUAAGGAACUUGCCCUGCAGUCAGGGAUAACAGACGGAAACGACUGAUAAGACCUGGUAAAGUCAGGCGGACUCAUGUCCAGCCUGAUGAAAAGAGAUGCUGCAGGAGAGCCUUGCGUCCUAUUAGCUUGUUGGUGGGGUAACGGCCCACCAAGGCGAUGAUAGGUAGCCGGCCUGAGAGGGUGGACGGCCACAAGGGGACUGAGAUACGGCCCUUACUCCUACGGGAGGCAGCAGUGGGGAAUAUUGGACAAUGGGGGCAACCCUGAUCCAGCAAUUCUGCGUGCACGAUGAAGGUUUUCGGAUUGUAAAGUGCUUUCAGCAGGGAAGAAAAAAAUGACGGUACCUGCAGAAGAAGCGACGGCUAAAUACGUG
This 463-nucleotide ribosomal RNA is filed under the name uncultured bacterium. Its description in RNAcentral is "partial 16S ribosomal RNA". It matches the Rfam family "Bacterial small subunit ribosomal RNA", at positions 28 to 507 of the family's 1533-position model. The record is from RNAcentral.